Molecule: ribosomal RNA, 292 nt
Filed under: uncultured bacterium
Lineage: Bacteria
Description: partial 16S ribosomal RNA
Rfam family: Bacterial small subunit ribosomal RNA
Source: RNAcentral
GUGUCAGCAGCCGCGGUAAGACGAACCGUGCGAACGUUGUUCGGAAUCACUGGGCUUAAAGGGCGCGUAGGCGGGUCAUCAAGUCCGGGGUGAAAUCCUUCGGCUUAACCGGAGCAGGGCUUCGGAUACUGGUGACCUCGAGGGGUGUAGGGGCAUGUGGAACUUCCGGUGGAGCGGUGAAAUGCGUAGAUAUCGGAAGGAACGCCGGUGGCGAAAGCGACGUGCUGGACACCUUCUGACGCUGAGGCGCGAAAGCCAGGGGAGCAAACGGGAUUAGAUACCCUGGUAGUCC